This 9194-nucleotide long non-coding RNA is filed under the name Lynx pardinus (Iberian lynx). The record is from RNAcentral. Lineage: Eukaryota; Metazoa; Chordata; Mammalia; Carnivora; Felidae.
AAAUUCUAGCAGCCUCUGACCAGCGGGCGUAGCCCCGCCCCCGUGGGCCCCGCCUUUCCUCAGCUUUAACCCAGCCCGCUCAGGCUUCGGCUCAGUCCUCUGGCCCGCCCUUCUCCAGUUCGGAGUUUCAGCUGCUUCUCGACGCGCGGCUCCGACGCCCCCUACCUCUGCCCAGGAGUCCCGGGAGGCGCCACAUGUCGUCGCCAACAGCAUAGAGAGCUCGCAGUCCAAAGAGCGAGGCCAGACCUACGGGCGGCGGCUAGAGAGGCCGCUGUCGCGCCCUCCGAACGGCCGAGUCCCGAGGAAGCUUCCAGCCAGCCAAUUAGAAAGGAGCCUAGCCGGAAGACCGGCGCUGCGCGAAAGGAAGUGGGGGCUGGCUGGGAGGUGAACUGCGGCAAGGGCAUGGACGUGGGCCCGGCCUACCCUGGAAGAGGCGUCGCUUGCCGUCCGCAAGAGUGGGGAGAACGCUCAGCGGUGGGGGGGUGGGGGUGGAGUCGCAGGUGGCGAAGCCGAACCGAGUCGGAAACUGGACUGUGGAGAGGCGGGGCUAAGGGCGGCCUCGGUAGCGCAGGACGACCUUGCAGACACCGUGGAGACGCGAAAAGGGGAAUAGUGUACCCCAGCCCCGCGCCUGGACGAGGCGGUAGUAAGCAGGGCCAGUGGGCGGAGAGGAUCGCUAGGAUCCAACAAGAGAGGCCCGUAGUCCGCGCUUUUCCAGUCCAAGGCCCUCGACUAGGAGAUUCGGGCUGGGACCGACGGGGUAGGCGUUAAAAAACUGCGCAGGCAGCGUUGUGAUUCCGGGGUUCUAGCUCUGGCUCAUCUUGUGUGUACCGUGCAGCCACCGUACGACCUUUUCCCCUGUCUGGGCCUCAGCUUGCGCCAUGAUAGGAUCAGAUAGCUGGAGGGAUCUCGAGUAGUCCUUCCUGGCGCUACAGGAACAACUUGAGUUGCUUUCGAAAUACCUAAGAGGAGACCGUCCCCCCACCGACCCCCCAACACCUGUUAAUCAGAGCCCUCGUGCUCAGACCCAGCCAGUGUUAUCUAUGCAUUCUUUUGUGUGGAAGAGAAUGGUUCUUCUUUCACCAAAUGUGAAUAUAUGAAAUAAAGGACUUCAAGUUCAAAUCUAAGGUACUUAGACAUCCUUCCUCCUUCUUUCCCCCAGGUACAUGACUUCUGGUUGGGAAGAAGUCUACACCUGGGCUAACAGCUUACUGGGGUCACCUUUUAGACCUGGUUUUGUGAUAGGACAGUUGUAUUUGUUCACCAGUUUUUGAGCCAUGUGGCAGUCCCCAUCAUAGAAGCUGAGAAGACAGAUGAGUAAAGAGCAUUUGUGGCCUCGAGGAACACUUGGUCCGGUGUUUUAAGAAUGGCCUCUGGAGUUCCACAAUUGCUUUGAAAAAUAGCUUUCUUACUUCCUAGCUAUGUGUUCUAUAGCAGUUAACAAUCUUAAGCCUCAGGUUCUUCAUCUAUAAAAUAGGAGGAAAAAAUACCUCAUGAAAUUGUUGUGAGGAUUCAAUAAUGCAUUUAAAUGGUUAGCAGAGCCCCUAGCACAUAGGAAGAGCCUAAUAAAUGUAAGUUGCUAUUAAUUGCAGUGGCAGAGGAGGUGAGUAGGGAAAAACAAUAGAUCUGUUGCAAUAGAAUCGUGAAUACUGGGCUAUGGGAUACUGAGGAAAGAUUCAAAAAAGUCAUUGCAUUUGAGCUGCAUCUUUACAUAUGAGAAAGAGUUUCCUAGGUGGAGAAGGGAGAAAGCCAUUGCAAGCAGAAAAAAACAAUAAAUAAAGGCCUAGGAGUACAAAUAUUGGGAAACUGGGUUCAGAGAUACACUUGCUUUGGGAUUCGGGGCAGGCACCUUUCACAUUCCUUGUGUUGCUGCCCCAAAAUAGCUGAUUUGGGUCUGUUCUUUGUCCCUGGACUUCUGCACCUUAAUUCCUGCCAGCUUGUCUGCAGUUGCUUUCAUGCCCUGAGGCUCGGCCACAUCCAGCUCUUCAGUGAAUACUCCCCAACUAUUGGAGCCCUCGCUGCUCUCCGCUUUUCCCAGUUCCUUACCACUUAAUUUAUUGCCACACAAUUUAGCAGUAAUUAUAUGUUGUCCUGUUAUUUAAUUGUCUCAUUUGUGUAAGUCUAGUCUCCCCAGUUCUUUCCCCCGGGGCAGGGAUGGCAUUUUCCCAUUUUGUGUCCCGCAUAGAGCUUGACACAAACUGUCAAACCAUGUCUGUUGACUGGACACCUUGUGCUGAUGAUAGUUACAGACAAGAGCACCAGACCCCAAUCAGGGAUUUAUUGAUUUGGGUAGGAACGUAUUCAUUCCAUAUACAAACAUUGAAGGGCCCUUCAUGUUUGAAGCUGGUUGAAAAAUUGUGAAGAUGAGGUGUCUGUUUCCACGUGUAAAAUGACAUUAUGACAUCUGUUCCUAGAAAUCUAAACAAGUAACCACUGUGUAGAUGGCAAGGGCAGCUGAAGUCUCACUGGCACAGCAGAUCACCUGUUCAGUGUUGCCCAGAGGAGCGCCAUCAGAAUGACAACUUUGUUCCCGUGCCUUUGGCUUUGCUAAAACCAUUGGCCAUUCUCUUCUUCAGCUCCCAAGGUUGCUCCCCGUUGUUGGCUUGUGGCCCAGUCAAUUUGACCCAGUCCUUCUACAGAGAUAAGCUGUCUAACUUAACAUCAGGAACCUACUGCCCAGAUAGCCACUUCAUUACCUUUUGUUCAUGACACUGUAUACUCAUCACAGCCAGUGUUCCAGACAUUUUUUGUUGUUGAGUCUCGGUUUACAUUAAUCAAAUAUUUUCGUGCUUACUCUGUGCUAGAGAAUGUCCCGGUAUAUAACAAUUUUUAAAAAAUGGAUGUGGUCCCUGCCUUCACAGAGAAAAUAGUCUAGCAGGGCAGACACACUCAGUAGACAAAUAAAAUACAGAAUGGUGUCUUGGUACAGCAUACAAAUUCUCUGAAAUUUAGUGGCUUAAAACAAUUAUUAUCUCUCACAGUUCUGUGAGUUGACUGGGCUCAGCUGGGCAAUUCUGCUGGUCUCACUUCAGGUCUCUCAUGAGGUGGCAGUCAAACGGCACCUGAGCUGCAGCUGGAGUCCUAUGAAGGCUCAACCAGGACACUGGAACAGCUGAGUCUCUUUCCUUCUCCAUGUAGUCUCAGGGCCGUCCCAAAUGAGUGGCUGAACUUAAAUGGUGGCUCAGAGCUUCUGAAUGUACAAAAGUGUAAGCUGCCAGGCUUCUUGAGUUUUAGACCUGGAACCUGCACCUAUACCCUGUUGGCUAAAGCAGUUCAUAGAGUCAGCCCACAAUCAGUGCAGAGGGGAAGACAAAUGUUAGGAAGUGUGGUUUUUUGGAGACCAGCAAGAGCUUUAGUGGGGAAAGUACAGGUGCUAUGAGAACACCUAGGUACGGAAGGUGGGAAGACUUCCUGGAAGCAAUGACAUCUUGACUGAUGAGCCUGAAUGAUGAGGUCUGGGAUCUAGCGAGAUGAAGAAGGGAAAGGGCAAUAGUUCAGGCAGGGAAAAUUGCCGGUGCAAAGUCUCAGAGAGGCAAAGAGAGCACAACUUAAGAGCAGUGUGGCUGUAGCUGGGUGGGGAGUGGGACAGUGGGGGAAGUAGGUGAGGGGGUGGUAUGAGAUAGGGAUAGCCCUUUAAUCUGGAGAGAUAAAUAGCCUGAUCAUAACAUCUAGUAAGCCCCCCUCCCUGAAGAUGUCUGGACUCUGUCCUGAGGGCAUGGGACACCAAGGAAGGAAGCAAGGGCAUGAUCAGACCACAGAGAUCCUAAAGAGGCUACCAGCUACUGUGUGGGGAAUAGAUUAGAGGAGUUAAAUUCUCAUUUGCAUCCAGACCCAUCCAGUGACCUCACCUGUCUCCAAGAAGACUGAGUCAUCACCUCAGCACUAACAUUAGUUCUUGUUGCUUUUUAUUAGUGGGAAUGUUUUUUAAGAUUUAAAAAAAAUUUUCUUAACAUUUAUUUAUUUUUUAGAGAGAGAAAGUAUGCACACGAGCCUGAGUGGGGACAGGCAGAGAGAGGGAGACAGAGGAUCCGAAGUGGGCUCCAUGCUGUGAGUGCAGACCCCAACGCGGGCCUUGAUCUCACAACCGUGGGAUCAUGACCUGAGCUAAAAUCAAGAGUUGGCUGUCCAACCAACUGAGCCACCCAGGCGCCCUUAAGAUUUAUUUUUAAGUAAUCUCCACACUCAAUGUGGGGCUUGAACUCAUAACCUCAAGAUCAAGUGUCACAUGCUCUACUGACUGAGCCAGCCAGGUACCCCUAUUAGUAGAAAUUUUUAUUAGAAAUGCCAGGUCCUUUGUACAAGUUUUUUGUUUUUAUUUUAAAAUGAACAUGUCAUAGGAAGUCUUAUACCUGGUAGAAUUUGGACAUAAGGUUGGCCAGGUGAUCAAACAAUUUGUGCUUAAGUGUAAAGUGUGUUAAGGAAGAGCUUGCCUGCCAAGGACAGGGAGCAGGCCAGAUUCAGUGGACUUUACCCCUCAGUUAAGUAAUGGUCAGUUAAAAGAGCCCCUAUUCUAGGAAAAAGUCAAACAGUACUAAAAGGCUCAAAAAAAAUUAUAAAAUCUUUUCCCUCACUCCUCAUCUCUAAGAUGGGAAUGACAAUUGUAGGCUUCUCGUGAGAUAACGGUAUAUAAAUUGCCUGGCACAUGGUCAAUAAAAGGUGAUGAAGAAGGUUCUAACUUGAGAGCUGCUGUGAGUACAGCUGUGGAUGUUUAGUUGCACACUAGACAAAUAAAUGUAAGGCAUGAAUAGGAGAGGAAAUGACAAGAACAUAGACUCAUUUGGAGAGGUCUGUCUCUUCCCUUUGUUCUAAGGCCAAACUCUGCUCUGAGUCCCAUUCUCUUCCUGCCUCUUCUAGAACCUUGUCACUAUAAUUAACCUGACCCUCAUGCCAAAGCAUACGUGUCUCUACUGGUUAUUUUCUUUGAGCCUAUGAAAUAUACAAGAGCCUUUCCUAUCUUGGGAGGAAAAUCCUUCAUUUGAUCCUCCUGCCCUUUUCAGCUACCAUUCUGUUUCAUUCUCUCUACUGCCAGAUUUCUUAAUUAAGUAGCACACACACUGCUUCCUAUAACUUCACGACUCCUUUGCUUUUCAGUUUUGUCUCCCAGCUUCCAUCGCUGUUCUUCUGACACAGCUGUCAGUGCGGUCGUCAAAGACCACCUCAUUAACCACCAGUGGGCCUUUGCUCAAUCAAUCUCCUUGGCCCAGAGCACUUGACUCAGUUGACUGUCCACUCCUUAAUUCUCACAUACAAAACCACCUCAUCAUCCCACUUCCUUAUUUCUGUCAAUUGUAUCAUUUCCCCAAGCCAUUCAGGAAAGAAACCUUGAACUCAGGGUUGGCUCAACUCCCUUCUCUGCCCUCCCCCACAUAAGUUUUGACUUUUACUGCCAGUAUUAGAAAUUCAUUAAGCUAGUUUUUUAGAAAAAUUUGAUCAGGAUAUGGAGGAGCGGAGGGACAUUUAAUGGACCCUAAAGACAGGAUAUAGUUGGAAUCCAGGAAAGACCAGGACUGUAGACUUAGGAGUCGAUGAAGUGAGCCUUCUCUCUCUAGCUUUCUUUCUGGAAUUCUCAUGAUCUUCACAGACACCCCAAAGGUGCUAGAUACUCCCACACCUACUUAGUCCCCAGGGCCCAUCAAAAAUCACCAUCUUUUGCAUCAGGCCCUUGAAUCUGUCUUCUCCCCAGUUUCCCUUCUACUGCAUUUCCUGUGUUGGUUUACCUUCUGAUCAUUCUGUGUCUGCCAUUGCCUCUUCCUCCUCCUGUCCCUGAGUCCAAGCAUUGCCCAUGUUUCAGUUCUCUGUCCAAUGCCCUUUUCUUGAACUCUCUUCUGUGUUGUUGACUCCUAAAGGAGAGGAGACUCUAGGGGCGCAGGGGUGGCUCAGUUGAUUGAGCAUCUGACUCUUGGUUUCGGCUCAGUUCAUGUUCUCAUGUUUCAUGAGAUAGAGCCCUGCAUUGGGCUGCAAAAAGACAGUGCAGAGCCUGCUUGGGAUUCUCUCUCUCUCCCUCUUUCUCUGCCCCUACCCCCCUCGUGCACACACACGCGUGUGUACACGUGCCCACAUGUGCACGUGUGCGGACUCUCUCAAAAUAAAUAUAUAAACUUUAUAUUUAAAAAAAAAAAAAGGAGAAGAGAGUGGUUAAGAGUUUGGAUUCCAGAGUCCUAGUGGCCUGCGUUUGAAUCUCCCACCAUUUUCUAGCUGUGUGAACUUGGGAAAGUGACUUGAAUUUUUUGAGCCUAAAUUCCUCAUCUGUGAAAUGGGGAUACGGGGAUAGUACUGGUACCUUCCUGACAGGGUUGAUGUGAGGAUUCACUGAGCCAUCACAUGUAAAGUGCUUAGUUAGCAUAGCACCUGGCACACAGAAAGAACUCAAUAAAUGGCAACAAUUAUUAGGCUUAGCCUUAGCCUUGUUCUUUUUCCUGAGUUCUAGCCUGACAUCAUCUGCUAGACUUUUCCAUUAGAUGUCCUGCUGUGACCUCAGAUUCACCUGUCAGAAUUCUCUGGAUACUGCUAGAAGAUGCAGAUUUCUGAGAGCUGGAGGGUGGAGGGGACCUGAACAAAGAAAGGUGGUCUCAUCGAGUCUUUGAAGGAACCCCCACCUAACCUCAGUCAGGCCUCAGCAGAGAAGACUCUAAACAGUUUCCCUGUAAGCCUUCAGACCCUUUGCCGGCUGACUCUUGGAAUCUAGGAGAGCAGGCAGGGCUGCCAUUAAGAGAGCAAAUGAAGGCUGUGAAUCCAACCUUUAAAAAAAAAAAAGCCCUGGGGGUGGUGAGAGGAGAUGUAGCGGGAUCAGUGGAGCUUUGAGGUGGGUGUGAAAGGUGAGAACAGCACCCUCAGGGCGCUGAGGCUGGCUUAGGCAGGGGCCUCCCUCCACUGCCUGGGAUUUGGCAGCUCACAAGCCAGAGGCACUCCUGUUUUUAGCUGAGCUUUUGCAGAUCUCCUUUGCCACCCUUGUGAACAUUCCUCAUUAAGCUCAACGUGGGGAGCAGGGUGUACAGCUUUCACCCGCCCUUCAGCCCCUUGCUCCUACCUGCCUCUCUGCUUCUGGGUGGCAGCAUUCCUACUGCAUUUGUGGGCAGGGGACGGUAUCCUCAGAGCUGUUUGCUCUGAGCCGGAGUGGCCAAAGAGGUAAGAGCUCUGACCCUAAAGCAGAAUGUGUCUCUAUUUGAAGGCCCCUGUUGGAAGGAACUGGUGAAACAGUAUAAAAGACUCAAGAUUCCCUCAGGCCUCAGGGUCCCACCAGCCAUGCUGGGUGAUUCACAACAAAUAGAGGUCCUAGGCCAGUCACUGUUCCAGGGCUUGGGCUUGCAAUAGGAGAGGCUCCUGGCCCCAUGGGGCAAACUGUUCAGGGGGUGGUGGACAUUAAACAUAACAAAACUGAUGAUACAUUCCAUCUAGGAGCACUGCUAGCAAGGAGAAGCCCAGCUGCUAUGAGAACAGAGGGCAGAGAUUACAUUUGGGGAGGGGAAAAUCAGGGAGAGUUUCCCAGAUGAUGUGCCAAGUAAAUUCGGGCUCAAAGAAAGGACAGGCUGGUUUGAGGUGGAGGGUGGAAAAGAGCCUUGCAAGCAGAUGAAACGGUACACGCAAAGGUCCUGAGGCAGAAGGGAACUAGGCUUUUGGGUGGUUAAUGCAGCCAGCAGAAGCUCAGUAAUGAAGGGGGACAGUGGCCUCUUGAAGGCCGCAGAGCUACCAGCAUGGGUUAUGCAGAGCUUUGCAGACUACGAUGAGAAUUUGAGCUUUUAUCCUAAUGAUGAUAAUGAGCGUUCAAUUUUAUGUAUACGAGUGCUCUACUAAGUACUUUACGUGCGUUUUCUCAUUUGCUUUUCAUAAGUCCCCUUGGAGGCUGGUGCUAUUAUUCCCAUUUUACAGAUAAUGAAACCAUGGCCCCGGGAAGUUAAAUUGCUCAAGAUCACACAGUUAGCACGGCAGAGCUGGGAUAUGAACCCGGAUAUCAGGAUCCAAAGCCUGCCCUCUUAAUGUCUGCACGGCCCUCGGCUGAGAGCUGAGAGCUAAGGAUGGCCUUUGAGCUCAGUUCCAUCUUCCUCAGACCUAGGUUCCUCUAUCGCCGCACGCAUGUCCCCGAUCCUUCUGCCCAGAAACCCAGGCAGAGGUUUGUUUUGGCCAAAGGAGAAGCGGGCCGCGCCGCGGAUUCACCCCCCCGCCCGGCCCCCACGGAGGCGAGGGGCUGGCUGGGGCGCGGGCGCCGCGGAACCGCCAAGCGCGGCCGCAGUGCGGAGGGCGCUGGCGGGUGCGCGCUAGCGCUGCCUGGCAGCUGUGAAAUCUGGAGGUAAUGGACCCCAGAGAGGAGCGUGGGGCGGGCGCCCCUCCGCGUCCGGCAGGGGGCUCCGUCUCCCCGUGAUCCCGGGGCCGAGCGCCUCAACCCCGCCGCCCGGAUCACGUUCCCUCCAGCCUUGAGGGGGAAAACAGCGUUCAUUUCUGAUUAAAAAUGACUAUUUUUUAAAUGGGCUUCAUUCUUUAUUUCUUUCUGUCCUCUCCCAGGGCCAGAAAGAGGCGGAAAGCGACACUGAGAAUCCAUUCCAAACGAGCAGCCAAGAGGAGACGCGGCAGCUCCCAGAUGUUGAUGUUUUGUUUUUUGACAUAAAUCUUUGCACUCAUAUGGGAGUUUUCAUUGAUUCAUGUUCCCAUCUGCUGAAUUUCCUCUUAUUUAUUUAAUAUGGCUUUUUGGGGAAAUCUUGCUCCGAAGCUCUGGAGGAGCGUAAACUGUGGCAACCGCUGCACCCCAUCCUCCCGCCUCCAAACGUUGGCUUGCUGGGGGGAAGGGAGAGGCAGUGGCACCCUGCAGAAAAGGCCUGCUUCACGUUCUCAUCUUGGGGGACAGGAGCCCUAGGCACGUGCUAACGUGACUGUUCCCGUGCUUGGGGCCUGCCUGAGGCUGUAAACCCGAGAAAGAAACAGCAUGAGACAGUCACAUUGAGUCUCCCUUCCUUUUGCUUCCUGCCCACCCACAAUACCGCCUUCCCUUCAAGCUAAAACACUCUCGGUUCAACAAUUUGGAAACCAGGAAACAUUUAACAGUGGAUGUCCGCAUAAAAUGUUACACUAUCUCCUCCUCCCCGGGCUCAUCCUGCACACCCCCACCCCUGUAGUAAUUCCUAGUAAUGAAGAGCUUCUAUUUUAGAGUCAGACCACCUAAGUUUGAAUCCCGAGUGUAUGAAUUCUUGAGCCAAAUAGCUUCU